Molecule: ribosomal RNA, 301 nt
Filed under: uncultured bacterium
Lineage: Bacteria
Description: partial 16S ribosomal RNA
Rfam family: Bacterial small subunit ribosomal RNA
Source: RNAcentral
CAGCAGCCGCGGUAAUGCGUAGGGUGCAAGCGUUAAUCGGAAUUACUGGGCGUAAAGCGUGCGCAGGCGGUUUGUUAAGACAGAUGUGAAAUCCCCGGGCUCAACCUGGGAACUGCAUUUGUGACUGGCAAGCUAGAGUGUGGCAGAGGGGGGUGGAAUUCCGCGUGUAGCAGUGAAAUGCGUAGAUAUGCGGAGGAACACCGAUGGCGAAGGCAGCCCACUGGGCCAACACUGACGCUCAUGCACGAAAGCGUGGGGAGCAAACAGGAUUAGAUACCCCCGUAGUCCCUGUCUCUUAUAC